AACGAACGCUGGCGGCAUGCCUAACACAUGCAAGUCGAACGAGACCUUCGGGUCUAGUGGCGCACGGGUGCGUAACGCGUGGGAAUCUGCCCUUGGGUCCGGAAUAACUCAGAGAAAUUUGAGCUAAUACCGGAUGAUGACGUAAGUCCAAAGAUUUAUCGCCCAGGGAUGAGCCCGCGUAGGAUUAGCUAGUUGGUGAGGUAAAGGCUCACCAAGGCGACGAUCCUUAGCUGGUCUGAGAGGAUGAUCAGCCACACUGGGACUGAGACACGGCCCAGACUCCUACGGGAGGCAGCAGUGGGGAAUAUUGGACAAUGGGCGAAAGCCUGAUCCAGCAAUGCCGCGUGAGUGAUGAAGGCCUUAGGGUUGUAAGCUCUUUUACCCGGGAUGAUAAUGACAGUACCGGGAGAAUAAGCCCCGGCUAACUCCGUGCAGCAGCCGCCGUAAG
Molecule: ribosomal RNA, 448 nt
Filed under: uncultured bacterium
Lineage: Bacteria
Description: bacterial SSU rRNA
Rfam family: Bacterial small subunit ribosomal RNA
Source: RNAcentral